UAAGUCGGAUGUGAAAGCCCCGGGCUUAACCUGGGAACUGCAUUCGAUACUGCAUAGCUAGAGUAUGGAAGAGGGAAGUGGAAUUCCGGGUGUAGCGGUGAAAUGCGUAGAUAUCAGGAGGAAUACCAAUGGCGAAGGCAGCUCACUGGACGGUGACUGACGCUGAUAUGCGAAAGCGUGGGGAGCAAACAGGAUUAGAUACCCUGGUAGU
Molecule: ribosomal RNA, 211 nt
Filed under: Symbiodinium sp. clade D
Lineage: Eukaryota; Dinophyceae; Suessiales; Symbiodiniaceae
Description: partial Bacterial small subunit ribosomal RNA
Rfam family: Bacterial small subunit ribosomal RNA
Source: RNAcentral